RNAcentral lists this ribosomal RNA (660 nucleotides) under uncultured bacterium. RNAcentral describes it as "bacterial SSU rRNA". It matches the Rfam family "Bacterial small subunit ribosomal RNA", at positions 94 to 788 of the family's 1533-position model. The record is from RNAcentral.
AGUGGCGGACGGGUGAGUAACGCGUGAGAAUCUGCCUUGGGGUCGGGGACAACCACUGGAAACGGUGGCUAAUACCGGAUAAGCCGAUUGGUGAAAGAUUUAUUGCCCGAAGAGGAGCUCGCGUCUGAUUAGCUAGUUGGUGAGGUAAGAGCUCACCAAGGCAGCGAUCAGUAGCUGGUCUGAGAGGACGAUCAGCCACACUGGGACUGAGACACGGCCCAGACUCCUACGGGAGGCAGCAGUGGGGAAUUUUCCGCAAUGGGCGAAAGCCUGACGGAGCAAGACCGCGUGAGGGAGGAAGGCUCUUGGGUUGUAAACCUCUUUUCUCAGGGAAGAAGCUCUGACGGUACCUGAGGAAUCAGCCUCGGCUAACUCCGUGCCAGCAGCCGCGGUAAUACGGAGGAGGCAAGCGUUAUCCGGAAUUAUUGGGCGUAAAGCGUCCGCAGUUGGCGAUUCAAGUCUGCUGUCAAAGCACGGGGCUUAACUCCGUAAAGGCAGUGGAAACUGAAUAGCUAGAGUGCCGUAGGGGUAGAGGGAAUUCCCGGUGUAGCGGUGAAAUGCGUAGAGAUCGGGAAGAACAUCGGUGGCGAAAGCGCUCUACUGGACGGCAACUGACACUCAGGGACGAAAGCUAGGGGAGCGAAUGGGAUUAGAUACCCC